GACGUAGGGCGCGAGCGUUGUCCGGAUUUAUUGGGCGUAAAGAGCUCGUAGGCGGUUUGUCGCGUCUGCUGUGAAAACUCAGGGCUUAACUCUGAGCUUGCAGUGGGUACGGGCAGACUUGAGUGCGGUAGGGGGAGACUGGAAUUCCCUGGUGGUAGCGGUGAAAUGCGCAGAUAUCAGGAGGAACACCGGUGGCGAAGGCGGGUCUCUGGGCCGUAACUGACGCUGAGGAGCGAAAGCAUGGGGAG
RNAcentral lists this ribosomal RNA (248 nucleotides) under uncultured bacterium. RNAcentral describes it as "partial 16S ribosomal RNA". It matches the Rfam family "Bacterial small subunit ribosomal RNA", at positions 524 to 768 of the family's 1533-position model. The record is from RNAcentral.